GCCUGAUAAAAAGGGUUAUUUUGAUAGGAUAAAUAAUGUAAUUAUAUUACUUUUACUACUA
This 61-nucleotide transfer RNA is filed under the name Theopompa sp. FY-2016a. Its description in RNAcentral is "partial tRNA-Ile". The record is from RNAcentral. Lineage: Eukaryota; Metazoa; Arthropoda; Insecta; Mantodea; Gonypetidae.